AGUGAACGCUGGCGGUAGGCCUAACACAUGCAAGUCGAACGGCAGCACAGUAAGAGCUUGCUCUUACGGGUGGCGAGUGGCGGACGGGUGAGGAAUACAUCGGAAUCUACUUUUUCGUGGGGGAGAACGUAGGGAAACUUACGCUAAUACCGCACACGACCUACGGGUGAAAGCAGGGGAUCUUAGGACCUUGCGCGAUUGAAUGAGCCGAUGUCGGAUUAGCUAGUUGGCGGGGUAAAGGCCCACCAAGGCGACGAUCCGUAGCUGGUCUGAGAGGAUGAUCAGCCACACUGGAACUGAGACACGGUCCAGACUCCUACGGGAGGCAGCAGUGGGGAAUAUUGGACAAUGGGCGCAAGCCUGAUCCAGCCAUACCGCGUGGGUGAAGAAGGCCUUCGGGUUGUAAAGCCCUUUUGUUGGGAAAGAAAAGCAGCAGGUUAAUACCCCGCUGUUCUGACGGUACCCAAAGAAUAAGCACCGGCUAACUUCGUG
Molecule: ribosomal RNA, 492 nt
Filed under: uncultured bacterium
Lineage: Bacteria
Description: partial 16S ribosomal RNA
Rfam family: Bacterial small subunit ribosomal RNA
Source: RNAcentral